This 453-nucleotide ribosomal RNA is filed under the name uncultured Alphaproteobacteria bacterium. RNAcentral describes it as "bacterial SSU rRNA". It matches the Rfam family "Bacterial small subunit ribosomal RNA", at positions 10 to 511 of the family's 1533-position model. The record is from RNAcentral. Lineage: Bacteria; Pseudomonadati; Pseudomonadota; Alphaproteobacteria.
GGUUUGAUCAUGGCUCAGAACGAACGCUGGCGGCAGGCUUAACACAUGCAAGUCGAGCGCCCCGCAAGGGGAGCGGCAGACGGGUGAGUAACGCGUGGGAAUCUACCCAACUCUACGGAAUAACCCAGGGAAACUUGGACUAAUACCGUAUACGUCCUCCGGGAGAAAGAUUUAUCGGAGUUGGAUGAGCCCGCGUUGGAUUAGCUAGUUGGUGGGGUAAUGGCCUACCAAGGCGACGAUCCAUAGCUGGUCUGAGAGGAUGAUCAGCCACAUUGGGACUGAGACACGGCCCAAACUCCUACGGGAGGCAGCAGUGGGGAAUAUUGGACAAUGGGCGAAAGCCUGAUCCAGCCAUGCCGCGUGAGUGAUGAAGGCCCUAGGGUUGUAAAGCUCUUUCAACGGUGAAGAUAAUGACGGUAACCGUAGAAGAAGCCCCGGCUAACUUCGUGCCAG